RNAcentral lists this ribosomal RNA (253 nucleotides) under uncultured bacterium. Its description in RNAcentral is "partial 16S ribosomal RNA". It matches the Rfam family "Bacterial small subunit ribosomal RNA", at positions 524 to 776 of the family's 1533-position model. The record is from RNAcentral.
UACGAGGGGGGCGAGCGUUGUUCGGAAUCACUGGGCGUAAAGCGCACGUAGGCGGCUUUUUAAGUCGGAGGUGAAAUCCUGGAGCUCAACUCCAGAACUGCCCUUGAUACUGAGAAGCUUGAGUCCGGGAGAGGUGAGUGGAACUGCGAGUGUAGAGGUGAAAUUCGUAGAUAUUCGCAAGAACACCAGUGGCGAAGGCGGCUCACUGGCCCGGUACUGACGCUGAGGUGCGAAAGCGUGGGGAGCAAACAGG